AUACAGAGGGUGCGAGCGUUAAUCGGAAUUACUGGGCGUAAAGCGCGCGUAGGCGGCUACUUAAGUCAGAUGUGAAAUCCCCGGGCUCAACCUGGGAACUGCAUUUGAUACUGGGUAGCUAGAGUUUUGGAGAGGGAAGUAGAAUUUCAGGUGUAGCGGUGAAAUGCAUAGAGAUCUGAAGGAAUACCAGUGGCGAAGGCGACUUCCUGGCCAAAAACUGACGCUGAGGUGCGAAAGCGUGGGUAGCAAACGGGAUUAGAAACCCUAGUAGUCC
This 274-nucleotide ribosomal RNA is filed under the name uncultured bacterium. RNAcentral's name for it is "partial 16S ribosomal RNA". It matches the Rfam family "Bacterial small subunit ribosomal RNA", at positions 523 to 796 of the family's 1533-position model. The record is from RNAcentral.